Molecule: ribosomal RNA, 413 nt
Filed under: uncultured bacterium
Lineage: Bacteria
Description: bacterial SSU rRNA
Rfam family: Bacterial small subunit ribosomal RNA
Source: RNAcentral
GACGAACGCUGGCGGCGCGCCUAACACAUGCAAGUCGAACGAGCGAGAGAGAGCUUGCUUUCUCGAGCGAGUGGCGAACGGGUGAGUAACGCGUGAGGAACCUGCCUCAAAGAGGGGGACAACAGUUGGAAACGACUGCUAAUACCGCAUAAGCCCACGGCUCGGCAUCGAGCAGAGGGAAAAGGAGCAAUCCGCUUUGAGAUGGCCUCGCGUCCGAUUAGCUAGUUGGUGAGGUAACGGCCCACCAAGGCGACGAUCGGUAGCCGGACUGAGAGGUUGAACGGCCACAUUGGGACUGAGACACGGCCCAGACUCCUACGGGAGGCAGCAGUGGGGAAUAUUGCACAAUGGGGGAAACCCUGAUGCAGCGACGCCGCGUGGAGGAAGAAGGUCUUCGGAUUGUAAACUCCUGU